GAUGAACGCUAGCGGCAGGCCUAAUACAUGCAAGUCGAACGAGAUUAAGAGGCUUGCUUCUUAUGAAAGUGGCGCACGGGUGCGUAACGCGUAUGCAACCUACCUUAAUCAGGGGGAUAGCCCGAAGAAAUUCGGAUUAAGACCGCAUAAAAACACAGGAUAGCAUUAUCCAAUGUUCAAAUAUUUAUAGGAUUACGAUGGGCAUGCGUGUCAUUAGCUAGUUGGCGGGGUAACGGCCCACCAAGGCGACGAUGACUAGGGGAUCUGAGAGGAUGACCCCCCACACUGGUACUGAGACACGGACCAGACUCCUACGGGAGGCAGCAGUAAGGAAUAUUGGUCAAUGGAGGGAACUCUGAACCAGCCAUACCGCGUGCAGGAAGACAGCCCUCUGGGUCGUAAACUGCUUUUAUUCGGGAAUAAACCUUUCUACGUGUAGGAAGCUGAAUGUACCGAAGGAAUAAGGAUCGGCUAACUCCGUG
RNAcentral lists this ribosomal RNA (482 nucleotides) under uncultured bacterium. Its description in RNAcentral is "partial 16S ribosomal RNA". It matches the Rfam family "Bacterial small subunit ribosomal RNA", at positions 28 to 507 of the family's 1533-position model. The record is from RNAcentral.